This 314-nucleotide long non-coding RNA is filed under the name Citrus sinensis (sweet orange). RNAcentral's name for it is "long non-coding RNA (CSIN_LNC001353)". The record is from RNAcentral. Lineage: Eukaryota; Viridiplantae; Streptophyta; Magnoliopsida; Sapindales; Rutaceae.
ACUACAAGCUCAGCAAAUGAUGCAGCAGCAAUUCAAAGGGGGGUCUAAGGAUAUGAAUAUGAUGAAGAUGGCUCAGCACAAUAAGGAUCAGAAACAUGGUAAGUUCAACACGAUUGAGGAUGAUUUUGAUGAUGAGGAGUUUGAUGAUGACUUUGAUGAUGAUGAUGAUUUUGAUGAUUAUGAUGAAGAGGAUGAUGAGGAGUUCGGUCAUGGGCAUCAUUUGCCUAACAAGAAUAAUGGCAAAGGGCCACAUGGGCCUCAUGGUAUGAUGAUGAUGAACGGGCCUAUGAUGGAUUUUAAGAAAGGAGGUGGCG